GACGAACGCUGGCGGCGUGCUUAACACAUGCAAGUCGAACGGAAAGGCCCUGCUUUUGUGGGGUGCUCGAGUGGCGAACGGGUGAGUAACACGUGAGUAACCUGCCCUUGACUUUGGGAUAACUUCAGGAAACUGGGGCUAAUACCGGAUAGGAGCUCCUGCUGCAUGGUGGGGGUUGGAAAGUUUCGGCGGUUGGGGAUGGACUCGCGGCUUAUCAGCUUGUUGGUGGGGUAGGGGCUUACCAAGGCUUUGACGGGUAGCCGGCCUGGGAGGGUGACCGGCCACCUUGGGACUGAGAUACGGACCAGACUCCUACGGGAGGCAGCAGUGGGGAAUAUUGCACAAUGGGCGGAAGCCUGAUGCAGCAACGCCGCGUGCGGGAUGACGGCCUUCGGGUUGUAAACCGCUUUCGCCUGUGACGAAGCGUGAGUGACGGUAAUGGGUAAAGAAGCACCGGCUAACUACGUG
This 468-nucleotide ribosomal RNA is filed under the name uncultured bacterium. RNAcentral's name for it is "partial 16S ribosomal RNA". It matches the Rfam family "Bacterial small subunit ribosomal RNA", at positions 28 to 507 of the family's 1533-position model. The record is from RNAcentral.